RNAcentral lists this ribosomal RNA (456 nucleotides) under uncultured eukaryote. Its description in RNAcentral is "partial 18S ribosomal RNA". It matches the Rfam family "Eukaryotic small subunit ribosomal RNA", at positions 531 to 887 of the family's 1831-position model. The record is from RNAcentral.
CCCUUAUUGAGUAACAAUUAGAGGGCAAGUCUGGUGCCAGCAGCCGCGGUAAUUCCAGCUCUAAUAGCGUAUAUUAAUACUGUUGCAGUUAAAACGCUCGUAGUUGAACUUAGAAUUAUUACAAGUUAUUUUACUUGAUUGUAAAGUGCUUGCUUAAUUCUUAUCUACUAGAUACUCUAUUCUGUACUUAAUUGUAUGGGAUAUCACCUAGCCAGUGGAACUUUGGUGAAAUAAUGCCUUUUUUAAUACCAGAGUGUAAAAACUUGAAGUGUUAAAUUGGGAUAACAUUAUUUUAUUGAAGUGGGGUUCUAGUUAAUUUACUUUGAGUAAAUUAGAGUGUUCAAAGCAGCCUCUUGGGGCUUUGAAUAGAUUUAGCAUGGGAUAAUAGAAUAGGACUUUGAUAAUCUAUUUGUUGGUUUGAAUUAAUCAAAUAAUGAUUAAUAGGGACAGUUGGGG